CCCCGUGCCCUCUCGUCCCCAUCAAAGGUUGCAGGGUCUGCUGCUUUUAAGGGAAGAUUGCUGAUGUUUUCAAAGCUGACACAAUUCACUGAAAUCCAGCACACUCGUUCUAACGGCGCUCUGAUCACAGAACAUCAGUAAAUCCAUUUUAACACAACAUAUUUUAAAUUUGUGUUGCGUCCACCAUUUUUUAUUGCUUUUCUCUCACUCACCCUCACAUAAAUCACACCCAAACACUCCCAUUCAAACAGUGAAAAACAUCUUUCAAAGCUUUGAAGCCCCGUUUCCCUCGCAGCAGUUGUGGCUUAAUGUAGGUUGCUUGCAAACAACCCAGAAUUUGGCACCUAAUUGGAGCGUGCGUGUGCUCCAUUCAGCGGGCAGGCGGCUGGCGACUCUGUUGUGCAAACUCAGGAUAAUUAGACAAAGUGAAUUCUAGAUCACAUCUGGCACAGUGGAGGGAGAAUAAGCAGCGGAGGGCCUAUUGGAUCAUGUGGAUUGUUGACCGCUGAAGGCCUCAGAGAUUUAACGGCUCUGUUUUUUUGUCUAUGCUUGCGUGCACUUGCAAGAGUACUUGCAAUUUUAUUUGCCUGUGUCCUUAUUUGUGUACUAGAGAUAGCACAUGUGUGUAAAUUAGUGUUCUGUGGAACUACUGAAUGAAAAAACUGCUCGACAGGCCUUUUGAACACGCAAGGGAGCAAGAGUUUGUGCUUUUUUUUUUUUUUUUUUUGAAGUACUGAGUGCUGAAUACAAAGAGGGUGAUGUGUUUAAUCAUGUCGGUCGAUGUCUGAAGUGCUGGAGGCGCUAUAUCUCCCUGUGGUUUUCUUUGUCUUUGUGCUUAACCUACACAAUCUGUUUUUACGAGUGUGUGUCUGUGUGUGUGUGUGCGUGUGUGAGACAAAUGCGAAUGAUACGUUUCAUCAUGUGUUUCCCGGUGUUUGAUGUGGCGUAGGAGCUCCUUAGUCUUUCACUCAUCAUUCUACUCCCUCUCUUCCUUUCUCACUCCGCCACAGCUCAUCUCUCCACCGCUCUGUCUCCCACCUGCUUUCUUUCUGCCUUCACCUCUUCUCUCUCUUCCACCCACUCCUCACUCUUCCUCCCCCACCACCUCACUUUCUUUCCUCCCCCCCUCUCUGUAAGCUCAGAGGCCCGGAGUCUUUGAAAGCUUUGACUCCUGUGGCUCUGGCUGCUGCUGCUGCUGCUACACUCCCAGUAUGGAUGGGCAUGAAUAUUUCAUCUCUGGAGUAAAAGAAGGGAGUGAGAGGUGGUUGGGGGGCAGGGUUGGUCGGAGGCGAGGAGUGAAUAAUGUGUAAGAUGGAGGAGAAAGGACAGGGGGGAGGGGGGAGACGUCAUAGAGAAAGACAGGUGAGUGCAGCAGGUACAAAUUAUUGCAAAGAUGAAGAAAUGCAAAUGUAGACGAGAUGAAAAGCUGAAAACAGGAAGAGAUGGGAGUAAACACAUGUGGAAUACCAACUUGUGUUAGAGCAGAGUCCCUCGGCUAUCCAGCCGUUUUUGUAUUUGUCUCGAGUAACUCUCAUCAUUGUCCUCGUCUA
Astatotilapia calliptera (eastern happy) is the source of this 1550-nucleotide long non-coding RNA. The record is from Ensembl. NCBI's taxonomy places the organism in Eukaryota, Metazoa, Chordata, Actinopteri, Cichliformes, Cichlidae.